Molecule: ribosomal RNA, 429 nt
Filed under: Pseudomonadota bacterium
Lineage: Bacteria; Pseudomonadati; Pseudomonadota
Description: Proteobacteria bacterium partial 16S ribosomal RNA
Rfam family: Bacterial small subunit ribosomal RNA
Source: RNAcentral
UGGGGAAUAUUGGACAAUGGGCGAAAGCCUGAUCCAGCCAUGCCGCGUGUGUGAAGAAGGUCUUCGGAUUGUAAAGCACUUUAAGUUGGGAGGAAGGGCAGUAAGCGAAUACCUUGCUGUUUUGACGUUACCGACAGAAUAAGCACCGGCUAACUCUGUGCCAGCAGCCGCGGUAAUACAGAGGGUGCAAGCGUUAAUCGGAAUUACUGGGCGUAAAGCGCGCGUAGGUGGUUCGUUAAGUUGAAUGUGAAAGCCCCGGGCUCAACCUGGGAACUGCAUCCAAAACUGGCGAGCUAGAGUAGGGCAGAGGGUGGUGGAAUUUCGUGUGUAGCGGUGAAAUGCGUAGAUAUAGGAAGGAACACCAGUGGCGAAGGCGACCACCUGGGCUCAUACUGACACUGAAGUGCGAAAGCGUGGGGAGCAAACAGG